UACGGGGGGGGCAAGCGUUGUUCGGAAUUACUGGGCGUAAAGGGCUCGUAGGCGGUUUGUCGCGUCGGGAGUGAAAUCCACUGGCUUAACUGGUGGCUUGCUUUCGAUACGGGCAGACUGGAGGUAUGCAGGGGAGAACGGAAUUCCUGGUGUAGCGGUGAAAUGCGCAGAUAUCAGGAGGAACACCGGUGGCGAAGGCGGUUCUCUGGGCAUGUCCUGACGCUGAGGAGCGAAAGCGUGGGGAGCGAACAGG
Molecule: ribosomal RNA, 253 nt
Filed under: uncultured bacterium
Lineage: Bacteria
Description: partial 16S ribosomal RNA
Rfam family: Bacterial small subunit ribosomal RNA
Source: RNAcentral